RNAcentral lists this ribosomal RNA (266 nucleotides) under uncultured bacterium. Its description in RNAcentral is "partial 16S ribosomal RNA". It matches the Rfam family "Bacterial small subunit ribosomal RNA", at positions 89 to 354 of the family's 1533-position model. The record is from RNAcentral.
CUUUAAGUGGCGGACGGGUGAGUAACGCGUGGGGAACCUGCCUUGCACCGGGGGAGUAACACUUAGAAAUAGGUGCUAAUACCGCAUAAGCGCACAGAGCCGCAUGGCUCGGUGUGAAAAACUCCGGUGGUGCAAGAUGGACCCGCGUCUGAUUAGCUGGUUGGCGGGGUAACGGCCCACCAAGGCGACGAUCAGUAGCCGGCCUGAGAGGGUGAACGGCCACAUUGGGACUGAGACACGGCCCAAACUCCUACGGGAGGCAGCAG